GUAUGAAGCAAUCUGAUUCUGGCACUCCCAGUAUCCUGGAGCAGGGAGAUCCAUGGUUUUGUCUGUGUGCUGUAGGGAAGCAGCAUCUCCUGUUGGCCUCCCACAGCUGAUUUCAUUUACUCUUCUUGUUUCCAAGGAGGAAAUAAGAAAUUGUUUGCUAUUCACCCAGGUAUUUUACACUUCUGUUCUUCCAUUUCACCCUCCUGCUUUCAGACUGUUUCCCAGAAAUUAACAACCUGUUCCUGCCUCCAAUUGCCAGUCACCUGCUCUGUGGAAAAAGAUCCAAGCAGCAUUUACAACAGCCAGCCUCUUGCUUCAUUCCUCCUCUCCUUGUUGGUUCCUGACUCUUGAGUGGAGUUAGGCCACAUGAAACUGCAAAAAGGGUGAAGCCAGUAUGGAUAAGAUGAUUAAAUGCUCCUCAGAAUACAAAGAGAUGAGUCCAGUCUUUGAAGGAUGCUGCUUCAUUUUUAGAACCUUGUGAUAAAGAAGAUUUUGAAGAGACCGGUGUCCUCACUUUUCCCAGUCUGAAACAUGAUGGAUGGACCUGUGUGAGCCUCUCAGAUCUGUACAUUUCAGCAGAAAAGAAGCAUUUCUGAGCCCUUGUCUAAUUGAAUGCAUCAGGAAAACUUUGUCAAGAGACCUGCUGAUGAGUGAGACCUUUGCAGAAGCUGUAGAAAUCCAGCAAGAGGAACUCACUGCCCAGAAUUUACACUGGAGUUUGGGGAGCGAGGGGGUGAAAGCCAAAGGGGUUAAAAUCCAGCUCCUGGACACCUGUGAAUAUUAAAACACGUCUGCUUUUAAAUGAGUUUUUCCCUUAUGGUUUACAUAAAUUUGACAGCCAACUACAGAAAUCAAGUUGUCCUUUAUGUACAUGACAAAAUCUCAUUAAUUAUUUUACAAAAUUGAGAGUAACUUUCUUUAUGCUUGUGGCUGGCAAUACCAUGAAACUUGAGAGAAACAGAGACUGAAUGAUAUUACCAGAAACAAUGAGGUUCAGCAAAGUUAAACAGUCCACACAAAAUGACGUAAAAUAAAUGAAGACUUUUAAAAUUCCUCUGUUUUUCA
RNAcentral lists this long non-coding RNA (1065 nucleotides) under Junco hyemalis (dark-eyed junco). RNAcentral's name for it is "lncRNA (ENSJHYG00000008529.1)". Lineage: Eukaryota; Metazoa; Chordata; Aves; Passeriformes; Passerellidae. The record is from RNAcentral.